RNAcentral lists this ribosomal RNA (517 nucleotides) under uncultured bacterium. RNAcentral describes it as "bacterial SSU rRNA". It matches the Rfam family "Bacterial small subunit ribosomal RNA", at positions 43 to 552 of the family's 1533-position model. The record is from RNAcentral.
CAUGCUAACACAUGCAAGUCGGACGGUAACGCGAGAGCUUGCUCUCUUGCGACGAGUGGCGGACGGGUGAGUAACGCGUAGGAAUCUGCCUGGUAGAGGGGGACAACUUGGGGAAACUCAGGCUAAUACCGCAUACGCCCUAAGGGGGGAAAGCGGGGGAUCUUCGGACCUCGCGCUAUCAGAUGAGCCUGCGUUAGAUUAGCUGGUUGGUUGGGUAAAGGCCUACCAAGGCGACGAUCUAUAGCUGGUCUGAGAGGACGAUCAGCCACACUGGGACUGAGACACGGCCCAGACUCCUACGGGAGGCAGCAGUGGGGAAUAUUGGACAAUGGGCGCAAGCCUGAUCCAGCAAUGCCGCGUGUGUGAAGAAGGCCUGAGGGUUGUAAAGCACCUUCAAUUGUGAAGAAGUUAUCGUAGUUAAUACCAGCGAUGAUUGACAUUAGCUUUAGAAGAAGCACCGGCUAACUCUGUGCCAGCAGCCGCGGCAAUACAGAGGGUGCAAGCGUUAAUCGGAAUU